Molecule: long non-coding RNA, 493 nt
Filed under: Mytilus galloprovincialis (Mediterranean mussel)
Lineage: Eukaryota; Metazoa; Mollusca; Bivalvia; Mytilida; Mytilidae
Source: RNAcentral
GCCCAACAUUUUCGGCGUUAUGAGUGGUUAAGUCGUGCGGAAAACUAUAUUUUCAAGCAAUUCUCUAUAUCCAAGAGUCACAUCCACAAAAUAAUACGGCCGAACCAGAACAAUUCUCAGUUUCAAACUGUAACUUUUCAUGAAAAAAACAUUUGCAUACCAAAUAAUAAUAAUAAAACAAAACCCGAAGUAUUGCCGGAUAUUUUUUUUUUUUUUUUUUUUGCUUUUCAGGUAGGGAACUACAACCUUCAGUUUUUUAUGCCUCGUUCACACGUACAUUUAAUUCGAAUUGAAUUCGAAUCGAAUGUGAAUCGAAUUCGCUAAUCGCGUUCACACAAUCUUCUAUUUUACUUCAAAUUGAUUCGAAUUGGCUAAUUCGAAUUAUCCGAUUCGCAUUAGAAAUACGCUUUUGCUAAUACGAAUUAAAAGUUGUUAAAGUCGUUUGCACAGUAAAGCGAAUUUGACGCGCAUUGCAAUUCGAAUUAGAAUUGAC